UUAAGCGACCAAGCGUACACGGUGGAUGCCCUGGCAGUCAGAGGCGAUGAAGGACGUGCUAAUCUGCGAAAAGCGCCGGUAAGGUGAUAUGAACCGUUAUAACCGGCGAUGUCCGAAUGGGGAAACCCAGUGUGACUCGUCACACUAUCAUUAACUGAAUCCAUAGGUUAAUGAGGCGAACCGGGGGAACUGAAACAUCUAAGUACCCCGAGGAAAAGAAAUCAACCGAGAUUCCCCCAGUAGCGGCGAGCGAACGGGGAGGAGCCCAGAGCCUGAAUCAGCAUGUGUGUUAGUGGAAGCGUCUGGAAAGGCGCGCGAUACAGGGUGACAGCCCCGUACACAAAAGCGCAUGUGCUGUGAGCUCGAUGAGUAGGGCGGGACACGUGGUAUCCUGUCUGAAUAUGGGGGGACCAUCCUCCAAGGCUAAAUACUCCUGACUGACCGAUAGUGAACCAGUACCGUGAGGGAAAGGCGAAAAGAACCCCGGCGAGGGGAGUGAAACAGAACCUGAAACCGUGUACGUACAAGCAGUGGGAGCCCCACCACUAAGCCAGUGGUGAACUCCACAUACGCAUCCUUUGCGGAAGAUGCGGUUAACGGAGCGAAAGCGACGUUCAACCUAAAAAGAAGCAGAGGGGGCUUAGUGGUGGGGUGACUGCGUACCUUUUGUAUAAUGGGUCAGCGACUUAUAUUCUGUAGCAAGGUUAACCGAAUAGGGGAGCCGGAGGGAAACCGAGUCUUAAUUGGGCGUUAAGUUGCAGGGUAUAGACCCGAAACCCGGUGAUCUAGCCAUGGGCAGGUUGAAGGUUGGGUAACACUAACUGGAGGACCGAACCGACUAAUGUUGAAAAAUUAGCGGAUGACCUGUGGCUGGGGGUGAAAGGCCAAUCAAACCGGGAGAUAGCUGGUUCUCCCCGAAAGCUAUUUAGGUAGCGCCUCGUGAAUUCAUCUCCGGGGGUAGAGCACUGUUUCGGCCAGGGGGCCAUCCCGGCUUACCAACCCGAUGCAAACUGCGAAUACCGGAGAAUGUUAUCACGGGAGACACACGGCGGGUGCUAACGUCCGUCGUGAAGAGGGAAACAACCCAGACCGCCAGCUAAGGUCCCAAAGUCAUGGUUAAGUGGGAAACGAUGUGGGAAGGCCCAGACAGCCAGGAUGUUGGCUUAGAAGCAGCCAUCAUUUAAAGAAAGCGUAAUAGCUCACUGGUCGAGUCGGCCUGCGCGGAAGAUGUAACGGGGCUAAACCAUGCACCGAAGCUGCGGCAGCGACACUGUGUGUUGUUGGGUAGGGAGCGUUCUGUAAGCCUGCGAAGGUGGCCUGUGAGGGUUGCUGGAGGUAUCAGAAGUGCGAAUGCUGACAUAAGUAACGAUAAUGCGGGUGAAAAACCCGCACGCCGGAAGACCAAGGGUUCCUGUCCAACGUUAAUCGGGGCAGGGUGAGUCGACCCCUAAGGCGAGGCCGAAAGGCGUAGUCGAUGGGAAACAGGUUAAUAUUCCUGUACCUGGUGUUACUGCGAAGGGGGACGGAGAAGGCUAUGUUGGCCGGGCGACGGUUGUCCCGGUUUAAGCGUGUAGGCUGGUUUUCCAGGCAAAUCCGGAAAAUCAAGGCUGAGGCGUGACGACGAGGCACUACGGUGCUGAAGCAACAAAUGCCCUGCUUCCAGGAAAAGCCUCUAAGCCUCAGGUAACAUCAGAUCGUACCCGAAACCGACACAGGUGGUCAGGUAGAGAAUACCAAGGCGCUUGAGAGAACCCGGGUGAAGGAACUAGGCAAAAUGGUGCCGUAACUUCGGGAGAAGGCACGCUGACACGUAGGUGAAGCGGUUUACCCGUGGAGCUGAAGUCAGUCGAAGAUACCAGCUGGCUGCAACUGUUUAUUAAAAACACAGCACUGUGCAAACACGAAAGUGGACGUAUACGGUGUGACGCCUGCCCGGUGCCGGAAGGUUAAUUGAUGGGGUCAGCGCAAGCGAAGCUCCUGAUCGAAGCCCCGGUAAACGGCGGCCGUAACUAUAACGGUCCUAAGGUAGCGAAAUUCCUUGUCGGGUAAGUUCCGACCUGCACGAAUGGCGUAAUGAUGGCCAGGCUGUCUCCACCCGGGACUCAGUGAAAUUGAACUCGCUGUGAAGAUGCAGUGUACCCGCGGCAAGACGGAAAGACCCCGUGAACCUUUACUAUAGCUUGACACUGAACACUGGUCCUUGAUGUGCAGGAUAGGUGGGAGGCUUUGAAGUGUGGACGCCAGUCUGCAUGGAGCCGUCCUUGAAAUACCACCCUUUAAUGGCUGGUGUUCUAACGUAGACCCGUGAACCGGGUUGCGGACAGUGUCUGGUGGGUAGUUUGACUGGGGCGGUCUCCUCCUAAAGCGUAACGGAGGAGCACGAAGGUUGGCUAAUCCUGGUCGGACAUCAGGAGGUUAGUGCAAUGGCAUAAGCCAGCUUGACUGCGAGCGUGACGGCGCGAGCAGGUGCGAAAGCAGGUCAUAGUGAUCCGGUGGUUCUGAAUGGAAGGGCCAUCGCUCAACGGAUAAAAGGUACUCCGGGGAUAACAGGCUGAUACCGCCCAAGAGUUCAUAUCGACGGCGGUGUUUGGCACCUCGAUGUCGGCUCAUCACAUCCUGGGGCUGAAGUAGGUCCCAAGGGUAUGGCUGUUCGCCAUUUAAAGUGGUACGCGAGCUGGGUUUAGAACGUCGUGAGACAGUUCGGUCCCUAUCUGCCGUGGGCGCUGGAGAACUGAGGGGGGCUGCUCCUAGUACGAGAGGACCGGAGUGGACGCAUCACUGGUGUUCGGGUUGUCAUGCCAAUGGCACUGCCCGGUAGCUAAAUGCGGAAGAGAUAAGUGCUGAAAGCAUCUAAGCACGAAACUUGCCCCGAGAUGAGUUCUCCCUGAGACUACAAGUCUCCUGAAGGAACGUUGAAGACGACGACGUUGAUAGGCCGGGUGUGUAAGCGCAGCGAUGCGUUGAGCUAACCGGUACUAAUGAACCGUGAGGCUUAACCUU
RNAcentral lists this ribosomal RNA (3000 nucleotides) under Salmonella enterica subsp. arizonae. RNAcentral's name for it is "23S ribosomal RNA". It matches the Rfam family "Bacterial large subunit ribosomal RNA". The record is from RNAcentral. Lineage: Bacteria; Pseudomonadati; Pseudomonadota; Gammaproteobacteria; Enterobacterales; Enterobacteriaceae.